CCUAUUACGUUACAUUGCAACCAACUAUUUUAGGAUCAAAUAUUUUACAUGAUGAACAAAAUUUCGGUUCAUGUUCAUAAAUGAUGUUUUUGAUUUCUGACUCUACCUAUAAGCAACUUCGUUUGAACAUUAUGAACCAACUCAAUAGAGGCAUCAACUUCCACCAAAACUCUCGUGUAAGACAAUCAGCCCUUAGUUGAUGUGAGCUUAUGUGUCGCAAUUGGUUUGCCUACCUUGGAAGCAAUCUUCCCUGAAGCAUUCGGUGUCCAACAAUCCAAAGGCAACCCCAAACGCAUAAUUCAAAUUGGAAUUGCACUAAUGUCCUUGACAUGAAAUUCGAAACAUCGAUGUCUAAUUUUCAGCAUCAACAGUCUCCUAAAGAUAAAAUACGGACCUUUCAAGUACACACUGCCUAUCAACCUCAUCUUCAAACUUGAAGAUGAGCCAACCACUAUUAUGCACAAAGUAAUUAUACUUUACCUUCCAAAAAUCACACAUGUGGAACGAUGCCAUUUUUCCUGGAAACCCGUUUAGCGAAAUAUCCAACCAAGCAAAGCCUACAAGCUGAUCUAAUGUUGUCCACGUCAAGCUUAUCUAAGAUAACUUCAUUUGGCUAGUUUCGAAAAGUUUGAAGCUUAAGUCAUUUCUUAUGUUUUCUGUUGUCUAUGAAGAGGUUAACCCAUAGGGCUUUUGUAGACUUUUGGUCCAUUAAGCACAUCUCCUUUAGCUGCGUGAGGUUUAGUAGUUGACCCUUCGGAUUGUGAAUCUUCAUAGGCAAGUGUUUGAGAAACACUUUGUGACUUUGUCAUUUCCUUACUCAGCUCUCCCCAAUAAGCUAUUGCAUAACUUUGAGUAUCACAAUUAGAAGAAAUAGAAGAAAUUUUACCAUCAUUACCUCGCUAUUGAACAACAUCUUUUGAGUUUUAGGCUAUCUUUGCUGGGAUGAUUGGAUGUUGCACACUGUUCUGGCCGUUUUUCUUCUUUCCCAUUGUAGUUGGAAGUUGUUAAAAUGGCUAGACAACUAGAUACAAGCUGGGAAAUUCGAACCUAAUCUGGAAGGAAAACAAAAUUUGAAAAACUUUGCCAAGAAUGGAAAGAAUAUUCUACUGGAUAUAACUUUGAACGGCCCGCACUUUCCCAAACUGAAUGAGUAAUUCAAAUUUUUUGAAAUCUUUAUCCAAAAAUAAAAAAAAAUGGGUUUGCAAUAACACACAUGAAUAUGCAAGAACAAUGUAGAGAGAAUAAUGGGUGAAUUCGAAUUUACCAAAGUUAUGGAAGGCGAAUUCGAAAUUUAGAACACUACUCACAUUGCUAGCCGAAUACAAAUCUUCCACAGGAUGGGAUGCAAUAUUUGAAAUUAAAACAAGUAUUACCCAAAUUUUGAAUUUGGACGAACUAAUUAAGAAAUUGUCUUCAAGCUGGCUAAACUUAACGAAGGAUUGUUUGUUGAUUUCAAAUUUAUCGGUGAAGGAAAGGUAAAAUUCAAACAAAAAACAAGAAAUCUCAAUAAUGUAAGGAACAACCUAGUGAGUGUUUCUUUCAUAUGUUGGAG
RNAcentral lists this long non-coding RNA (1552 nucleotides) under Olea europaea subsp. europaea. The record is from RNAcentral. Lineage: Eukaryota; Viridiplantae; Streptophyta; Magnoliopsida; Lamiales; Oleaceae.